GACGAACGCUGGCGGCGUGCCUAAUACAUGCAAGUAGAACGCUGAAGAGAGGAGCUUGCUCUUCUUGGAUGAGUUGCGAACGGGUGAGUAACGCGUAGGUAACCUGCCUUGUAGCGGGGGAUAACUAUUGGAAACGAUAGCUAAUACCGCAUAACAAUGGAUGACACAUGUCAUUUAUUUGAAAGGGGCAAUUGCUCCACUACAAGAUGGACCUGCGUUGUAUUAGCUAGUAGGUGAGGUAACGGCUCACCUAGGCGACGAUACAUAGCCGACCUGAGAGGGUGAUCGGCCACACUGGGACUGAGACACGGCCCAGACUCCUACGGGAGGCAGCAGUAGGGAAUCUUCGGCAAUGGGGGCAACCCUGACCGAGCAACGCCGCGGGAGUGAAGAAGGUUGUCGGAUCGUAAAGCUCUGUUGUAAGUCAAGAACGAGUGUGAGAGUGGAAAGUUCACACUGUGACGGUAGCUUACCAGAAAGGGACGGCUAACUACGUG
RNAcentral lists this ribosomal RNA (497 nucleotides) under uncultured bacterium. RNAcentral describes it as "partial 16S ribosomal RNA". It matches the Rfam family "Bacterial small subunit ribosomal RNA", at positions 28 to 507 of the family's 1533-position model. The record is from RNAcentral.